UCUCGAUUGGUCUAGUGGUCAGGAUACCUGCUUGUCAUCUGGAUAACUAUUCCUAUGGCAAACCGCAGGUGGCCGGGGUUCGAUUCCCCGAUCGAGAG
Molecule: non-coding RNA, 98 nt
Organism: Xylaria nigripes
Lineage: Eukaryota; Fungi; Ascomycota; Sordariomycetes; Xylariales; Xylariaceae
Source: the annotation of a GenBank genome assembly